AGUGAACGCUGGCGGUAGGCCUAACACAUGCAAGUCGAACGGCAGCACAGUAAGAGCUUGCUCUUAUGGGUGGCGAGUGGCGGACGGGAGAGGAAUACAUCGGAAUCUACUUUUUCGUGGGGGAUAACGUAGGGAAACUUACGCCAAUACCGCAUACGACCUACGGGUGAAAGCAGGGGAUCUUUGGACCUUGCGCGAUUGAAUGAGCCGGUGUCGGAUUAGCUAGUGGGCGGGGUAAAGGCCAACCAAGGCGACGAUCCGUAGCCGGUGUGAGAGGAGGGUAGGCCACACUGGAGCGGGGACGCGGUCCAGAGUCCUGCGGGAGGCACCAGUGGGGAAUAGGGGACAAUGGGCGGAAGUCUUGUCCAAUCGUCGCGAGUGGGUUGAAGCGACGUUGGGGGUGUAAAGCCGUUUUGUUGGGAAAGAAAAGCAUCAGCUUAAUACGCCGCUGUUCUGACGGUACUCAGAGAAGAAGCACCGGCUAACUUCGUG
Molecule: ribosomal RNA, 492 nt
Filed under: uncultured bacterium
Lineage: Bacteria
Description: partial 16S ribosomal RNA
Rfam family: Bacterial small subunit ribosomal RNA
Source: RNAcentral